This 458-nucleotide ribosomal RNA is filed under the name uncultured bacterium. RNAcentral describes it as "bacterial SSU rRNA". It matches the Rfam family "Bacterial small subunit ribosomal RNA", at positions 28 to 484 of the family's 1533-position model. The record is from RNAcentral.
GAUGAACGCUAGCGGCAGGCUUAACACAUGCAAGUCGAGGGGCAGCGUGGAGCAGCAAUGCUCUGACGGCGACCGGCGGAAGGGUGCGUAACACGUGAGCGACUUGCCCGUCACAGGGGGAUAACCGGCGGAAACGGCGACUAAUACCCCAUAUGAUGCGAUGCUGCAUGGCAUUGCAUUGAAAGAUUCAUCGGUGGCGGAUAGGCUCGCGGGACAUUAGCUAGACGGCGGGGCAACGGCCCACCGUGGCGACGAUGUCUAGGGGUUCUGAGAGGAAGGCCCCCCANACUGGGACUGAGACACGGCCCAGACUCCUACGGGAGGCAGCAGUGAGGAAUAUGGUCAAUGGGCGGAAGCCUGAACCAGCCAUGCCGCGUGAAGGCUAAGGCCCUAGGGUCGUAAACUUCUUUAGACGCAGAGCAAUAAGGUCCAGCGUGGACCGAUGAGAGUAUGCGUAG